Molecule: long non-coding RNA, 429 nt
Organism: Silurus meridionalis
Lineage: Eukaryota; Metazoa; Chordata; Actinopteri; Siluriformes; Siluridae
Exons: 4
Source: RefSeq, a predicted model, not a curated record
AUAUAUAUAUAUAUGUAUAUGUGGAGUCACCUGGUAAUUGUAAUGGAGGCCUGGAAAAAAGGACUAAUGAAGAGCAAGAGUCUGACCAGAGGAGGCGGAGCCUACAGUUUAAAAGCAGAGAGAGAGAGUGGCCUUCAUCAGAAAACAAGGCUGCCAAAUAUCCAGGUGGACAGCCAGCACAGAUGCACACAGUUGUCAGAAAGAUGCUGCCUCAUGUGGAAUAUUUGUCCUGAAAAGGACCUUACUGAGCUGUGCCACCAUUGAGGGGAGAAGAGAAAUAAGCAAAGAAAGACAGUGAUGAAAAAACAUGAACAACCGUUAUCAUCUACUUGGAUUCAGUGUGACGUGUGUGUGACCAUUUGUUUCACAUGCAGUGUGUUCAGGAGCCCGAUCCUAUCAAGUCCUACAGCUGUGCAAAUUUUAAGAUUC